This 831-nucleotide ribosomal RNA is filed under the name Anaerococcus prevotii. RNAcentral describes it as "bacterial SSU rRNA". It matches the Rfam family "Bacterial small subunit ribosomal RNA", at positions 1 to 996 of the family's 1533-position model. Lineage: Bacteria; Bacillati; Bacillota; Tissierellia; Tissierellales; Peptoniphilaceae. The record is from RNAcentral.
AUAUAUGAGAGUUUGAUCCUGGCUCAGGAUAAACGCUGGCGGCGUGCAUAACACAUGCAAGUCGAACGAUGAAGAUUAAAUGAUUUCUUCGGAAUGAACUUAAUUGGAUUAGUGGCGGACGGGUGAGUAACGCGUGAGUAACCUGCCUUGUACAAGGGGAUAGCCGUUGGAAACGACGAAUAAUACCCUAUGACAUCAUACGGGAGGCAGCAGUGGGGAAUUUUGCACAAUGGGGGAAACCCUGAUGCAGCGACGCCGCGUGAUUUAGAAGGCCUUCGGGUUGUAAAAAUCUUUUGUAUGGGAAGAAAAUGACAGUACCAUACGAAUAAGGACCGGCUAAUUACGUGCCAGCAGCCGCGGUAAUACGUAAGGUCCGAGCGUUGUCCGGAAUCAUUGGGCGUAAAGGGUACGUAGGCGGAUAAGCAAGUUAGAAGUUAAAUCCUAUAGCUCAACUAUAGCAAGCUUUUAAAACUGCUCAUCUUGAGGUAUGGAAGGGAAAGUGGAAUUCCUAGUGUAGCGGUGAAAUGCGCAGAUAUUAGGAGGAAUACCGGUGGCGAAGGCGACUUUCUGGCCAUAAACUGACGCUGAGGUACGAAAGCGUGGGUAGCAAACAGGAUUAGAUACCCUGGUAGUCCACGCCGUAAACGAUGAGUGUUAGGUGUCUGGAAUAAUCUGGGUGCCGCAGCUAACGCAUUAAACACUCCGCCUGGGGAGUACGCACGCAAGUGUGAAACUCAAAGGAAUUGACGGGGACCCGCACAAGCAGCGGAGCAUGUGGUUUAAUUCGACGCAACGCGAAGAACCUUACCAAGUCUUGACAUAAUACGGAAG